UAAAGUUAUUUAAAGCAUGAGAGAAGAAUAUUCUCUUAGCACAUUCUUGCUGCUAUAACAAAAUAGACUGGGUUAUUUACAAAGAACAGAAAUUUAUUUCUUACAGUUCUGGAGACUGGGAAGUCCAAGAUCAAGGUGCUGGCAUUCAGUGUCUGGUGAGGUCCUUCUUGGGAGAUAUUCAGACCAUAGCAAAUAUCACCAAAAACUGUAUGUCAAUAAAUUUGACAACUUAUAUGAAAUGGACAAAUUCCCACCAACUACUGAAACUCACUGAAGAAGAAAUAACCUGAAUAGCCCUAUAUCUAUUACGCCCGCGUUGGUCUCCAGCUUCCCAGAGCCCCGGCGGGUUGCGAGGACCGCCCUGCUCGCCACUGCUCCCCACCGCUCCGGUACCGACACGUGUUCUUACUGCCAAGUUCGGCCGCAGGAUGCUGAGCCGAGCCCCGCCCCGCUCCACAUUUCCCAGGCUCCGCCUCUCCUGCCCCGCCCCCGGCACCGAUUGCCAAUAGCGCCCCGAGGCGUAGCCAGGUCCCGCACUCCCCGUGCCCGGCCCGCCGCCUUUGUUCUCCCCCGCUCUCCCUCUUGGCCUGUGCGCUCCCGGCAAACCGAGUGGCAGCCGCUGAUUGGUGGUUGUGGCGCAGCCAAUCAGAAGGGGGCACCUCACGUUAGGGCUCGGAGUUUUAAACGCGCAGCCGAGGGCCGCGCGCAGGAGUAGGGAGGGCCUAGGGCGGCGGAGCCGACUCGUCGCGGCCGAGGCGCGCGCGGUCCGUGCCGGCGUCAGUCUGGGAUUGGCCGGCCCGCGACUUCCUCCGCCCCCUGCCAAUCGCCGGGGACGACUUCCGUGGGUUUUUCCGGCUCCCCCGCGUCGCUAAGGAGCGACGGGCUGUCGGCCAGACCCCGAGUUCUCGGUGCGCUCAGCGGCCGCCGACGCUAGGAGGCCGCGCUCCGCCCCCGCUACCAUGAGGCCCCGGAAAGCCUUCCUGCUCCUGCUGCUCUUGGGGCUGGUGCAGCUGCUGGCCGUGGCGGGUGCCGAGGGCCCGGACGAGGGUGAGCGGCAAGCGCGCCGCGGGUCGGGCUGUGCUUGCGGGGGCUGCAGAGCUGUGCGGGGGCCUGGGCCCUGCGACCCCGGCGGGCGGGCUUCCGCGCGGUCAGCUCCAGAACUA
This 1163-nucleotide long non-coding RNA is filed under the name Homo sapiens (human). RNAcentral describes it as "non-protein coding lnc-PDIA4-2:1". The record is from RNAcentral. Lineage: Eukaryota; Metazoa; Chordata; Mammalia; Primates; Hominidae.